Molecule: long non-coding RNA, 2176 nt
Organism: Callithrix jacchus (white-tufted-ear marmoset)
Lineage: Eukaryota; Metazoa; Chordata; Mammalia; Primates; Cebidae
Source: RefSeq, a predicted model, not a curated record
AUUCCUAACUUCCUAGCAAGGAGCAAGCAAGACAACUUUUUGAGCUAUCAUCUGGCUCUAUGACCGUGGUGUGAGGAGGGUUUGCACUUGGUGCCAACACAGAGAAAUCAGCCUGCCUAGAGUAGAGGUGAUGAAGGAGGAGGGAAGAAAUCAUCACAUCUCCUGAACUGUCAUCUACGGAGAGGCCUGGCUCUUGGUGCAGUAACAAGGUUUAUGAACAUCCAUACACAGAGAUUGGAACUAUGGAAACGGCACUGCUCUGGAGACUGUGCUGAACCAACAAUAAACUGUGAUGACAAGCAGGGAGCUCUGUCCCUGAGAACACCUCACAGAAAGACUGAAAUCACAGCUGUCGACCUGAGAGGGGAGCAGGAGGUGAAAACUGGAAGGCACUAGUGUAAGUGAUUCUGCAGUGGGCUAACAGAGUGGCCAUGGUAGCAGGAAUGGAAGCCUUGUAUAGACCCAAAUGUGCUCUCUUCAUCAAGGAUUGUGUAGCUACUGCUACCGAUAAAGGCCAAAUAACCACCAGCAAUGAUCAACACAGAGCCUGCAAUAUGACACCAUCCUUGGAAAGACCACCCGGACACUUAGUGGCAUAUUCAUUAUUUUAGAUCUUUUCUACUCUGGAGAGGGUAACCAUUUACCCUUGAAGUGACAUUCCUGGUAUGGAUUUAUCCACAGUGCCUUCCCCAUCUCAGGGCUUACAGACAUCUAGUCUAUUAGCAUCAUAUCCCAUCCAACACUGCCAUGGCAAAGGAGAUGACAAAUGGCCUCAAUCAUAGGCUUCGGUGGUUUUACCAUGUACACCAUCAUCCUGAAGUCUCUAGAUCUCCCUGCUACUUCUUAAUUUGGAGGAAGAGUCACCCUAGAGGACAGGGGUCAGCAAACUGUGACCUGUGCCUUGAAUCUAGUCUGCCACCUGUUUUGGUAGAUAGAGUUUGAUCAGAACACGAUCAUGCCCAUUUAUUUAUGUAUUGCAUAUAUUUGCUUUGGCACUAUAAUGUCAGAACAGGGCAGUUAUGAAAGAAACUGCAUGGACUGUAAAUAUGCUAAAAUUUACUACCCAGCACUUUAUAGAAAAAGUUUCCUGACCUCUGAUUUAGGACGUGAUCUCUUGCUUGCUUAGGGGCUUCCAAAGGGGCUAUGUGAUACAACCAAAAAAGUGCAGACGAGUUAAUUUUUUGUCGGCAAACUUUGACUGACGGAUACAGGAGAUGAGAAAGAGCAAGCAGUUCAGUUCUCUUCCCUCUCUUCCUUCCCUGAAGUGUGCCCUACCUCAGCUUUACCUCAUGAAGAAAGGUUUAAACAUGUGGGUCACCUCAGAGUUGGCAUCCUUUUUUUGGGGGGGGGGAGGAGUCUCACUUUGUCGCCCAGACUGUAGUGCAGUGGUACAAUCCCAGUUCAUUGCAACCUCUGCCUCCUGGGUUCAAGUGAUUCUCCUGCCUCAGCCUCCCAACUAGCUGGGAUUACAGGAGCGCGGCACCAGGCCUGGCUAAUUUUGGUGUUUUUAGUAGAGACGGGGUUUCACCAUUCUGGCCAGGCUGGUCCUCAAUCUCCUGACUUCAGGUGAUCCACCACCUUAGGCUCCAAAAGUGCUGGGAUUACAGGUGUGCAUCACUGCGCCUGGCCAGCACCUUUUACUUGAGAGUAGGUCAGAUUUGGGCCGGGCACGGUGGCUCAUACCUGUAAUCCCAGCACUUUGGGAGGCUAAGGCGGGUGGAUCACAAGGUGAAUAGAUCGAGACCAUCCUGGUCAACAUGGUGAAACCCUGUCUCUACUAAAAAUACAAAAAAUUAACUGGACACGGUGGCACGUGCUGGUAAUCCCAGCUCCUCAGGAGGCUGAGGCAGGAGAAUUGCCUGAACCCAGGAGGUGGAGAUUGCAGUGAGCCGAGAUUGUGCCAUUGCACUCCAGCCUGGGUAACAAGAGCGAAACUCUGUCUCAAAAAAAAAAAAAAAAAAAAAAAAAAGAGAGUAGGUCAGAUUUUUCUGGUACUUAGUAUGUCUAGUAAUUUUGGAUUUUGCCUGAACAUUUUGUAUAUUAUGCUGUGAAGCUUUGGGUCUUAUUAAAAUCCUCUGGAGAACAUAGAUUUUCUGUUGUUUGGUUUUUGUGUUUUAAGCAGAUAAUAAACCUGUCUUAUCUUCUGUGAACAGUGGUUCCAAUAUCCGUUCCAUGU